RNAcentral lists this ribosomal RNA (106 nucleotides) under Escherichia coli. Its description in RNAcentral is "partial 23S ribosomal RNA". It matches the Rfam family "Bacterial large subunit ribosomal RNA", at positions 1 to 97 of the family's 2925-position model. Lineage: Bacteria; Pseudomonadati; Pseudomonadota; Gammaproteobacteria; Enterobacterales; Enterobacteriaceae. The record is from RNAcentral. RNAcentral also lists the same sequence under 2 other names.
GGGUUGUGAGGUUAAGCGACUAAGCGUACACGGUGGAUGCCCUGGCAGUCAGAGGCGAUGAAGGACGUGCUAAUCUGCGAUAAGCGUCGGUAAGGUGAUAUGAACC